GGCCACAGGUGAUGUUGUGCCAUAUAACUGAGACCGUAUCAAAAGCCUAAUAACAAGACGUAUGUCUGGAGCCCCGAUAUGCACAGGAUGGUGAGUCUUAUCGUUCAACUUUUCCACAAGUGUAAUUGUGACAUAUACCUCUGCCCAGCUCCUGAAUUAAUUAUUCUGCCUAGGUAUCGCCCACAAAUGAGAAUUUGACAAAUAACAGAGCCAAGCACCUUGAUGAUUUGACCGCGUUAUCUUAACAAUGUCCUCUGGAGGGAUUGUAACAUAUUUCUGGACCCAUUUUCUAGGUUACAUGACUCUCCCCUCCUGCCUGUGCCCUGAUUCCUUGGUAACUACAGCAUUUCUGAGCACUGCAUCCAAAUGAUAUGACUGUCUUGCCUGGGCCCUGUCAACAGGAGGCAUUGUGACAUAUUUUGGGGCCCAUCAUUUAGGGGAUAAGACUCUCCUCUCCUGCUUGGACACUGCCCACAAGGGACAUUGUGCCACAGCGCUGGACCUAGCACACAAGUUAUGUGACGUUUCUGACAGGUCUGCCUAAAAAGAGGAUUUUGGAAUAUUUCUGGCCCAGCAUUUAGGUGAUGUGGCUGUCCUGCCUGCUUCAUAACCACAGAGGGGAUUGUAACAUAUGCCUAGGCACAGCUCACAGGCAUGAUAAUGACUCUUAUAUAUGGAUUCAGCCAAUAGAGGAUAUUUUGACUUUUAUAACCAGAUUUACAUACAUGCAUGAUGUCUUGGAUCACAUUCCUGUACAAAGGUCACAAAAGAUUACAACACUCACACAUAUUUUACAAAGUCUUUCGGUAAUACAGACAGAGCCAAAGCAGGGCUCAGCACACACGUGAAAUUGUUAGUCAUGUAUCCAGACCCAGCUGACAGUAAGGAUUGUCAUCAUUUCACAUGGAUGAAGCCAACUGUGACACAUGAAAACAGAACAAGUGUGGUAUUGUGAAUCUCAUCUUUGGAAUUUUCUGACAGUACGAUUGUGAUACAAAUUUUUUCCAAGCAACUGUGUAAUUUGACCCUACAGAGUUUUUCCAGCACAUAUAUGGGAUUGUGAUGUCUACCUAGGCCAAUCUCAAGGUGAUGUGACUCUCCUGCCUGGGCCCUUCUCUCAGUGAUAUAACCCUCUUCUCUGGAAUGGGCCCCACACAAAGGAAGGAUAGUGACAUAUUGCAAGCCCAGGCACACAGGCCCAGAGCACAGUUGAAAUUGUGACAUAUGUACACCAAGCAACCAAGCAAUGUAUAACACCUCAUUUGGCAAUGGAAUCGAGGGCACUUUUACAUAUCACUGAGACCAGCGCCCAGCUGAUGUGAAAUAUUGGCCUGAACCCUGCCUACAAAAGCAUUGUGGCUUUUAUCUAGCUCCAUUACAUAAGUGAUGUGACUUCCUUCUACUGCCUUGGCCCUGCACUUAUGGUGAAUCGUGACACAAAAUUGGGUAGAGCAACCAGGUGAUGUGACCCUUUUUUUUUUGGCGGGGGGCCAGUCUGUCAAUAGGAAGCUUUAACAUAUCACUUGGCUCAGCACCUAGAUUGUGUUUCUUCUCUCUAGCCUGGGCCCUGACCAGCACAGAGAUUGAGGCAUAUUGCUGAACCCAGGACCAAGAUGAAGUCACUCUCCUGCCUUGAUCCUGCACACAGGGACCCUUGUGACAUAUAUACAGGCCAAUUGCCUAGGUAAAGUUUGUCUCCUCUCCUGCCUAAGCCCUGCCCAUGGGGAGGAUUUAGAUAUAUCACUGAAACCAGCAUCCAGGUGAUAUGACUCUUUUUCCAGAGUCUUGUGACAUUUCACUGGACCAGCACCCACUCAGGUGAUGUGACUUUCCUUUCUUCUCCCCACCCACAGGUGAUGUUGUGCAAUAUACCUGAGACCAGAUCAAUGGCC
Long non-coding RNA from Homo sapiens (human), 1892 nucleotides. Ensembl annotates it as long intergenic non-protein coding RNA 293. NCBI's taxonomy places the organism in Eukaryota, Metazoa, Chordata, Mammalia, Primates, Hominidae. The record is from Ensembl.